CUGUCGAGAUGCCUAAAAAGCAUUUCAUAGCAAGGGCCGGGCAAGACCGGUGCCAGCCGCCGCGGUAACACCGGCGGCUCGAGUGGUAACCGUUAUUAUUGGGUCUAAAGGGUCUGUAGCCGGCCGGAUAAGUCUCUUGAGAAAUCUGGCAGCUUAACUGUCAGGCUUUCAGGAGAUACUGUCUGGCUCGAGGCCGGGAGAGGUGAGAGGUACUUCAGGGGUAGGGGUGAAAUCUUGUAAUCCUUGAAGGACCACCAGUGGCGAAGGCGUCUCACCAGAACGGACCUGACGGCAAGGGACGAAAGCUAGGGGCACGAACCGGAUUAGAUACCCGGGUAGUCCUAGCCGUAAACGAUACUCGCUAGGUGUCGGCCACGGUGCGACCGUUGUCGGUGCCGUAGGGAAGCCGUGAAGCGAGC
This 419-nucleotide ribosomal RNA is filed under the name uncultured archaeon. RNAcentral describes it as "bacterial SSU rRNA". It matches the Rfam family "Archaeal small subunit ribosomal RNA", at positions 407 to 824 of the family's 1478-position model. The record is from RNAcentral.